RNAcentral lists this ribosomal RNA (506 nucleotides) under uncultured bacterium. Its description in RNAcentral is "partial 16S ribosomal RNA". It matches the Rfam family "Bacterial small subunit ribosomal RNA", at positions 29 to 523 of the family's 1533-position model. The record is from RNAcentral.
AGUGAACGCUGGCGGUAGGCCUAACACAUGCAAGUCGAACGGCAACACAGGAGAGCUUGCUCUCUGGGUGGCGAGUGGCGGACGGGUGAGGAAUACAUCGGAAUCUACUUUUUCGUGGGGGAUAACGUAGGGAAACUUACGCUAAUACCGCAUACGACCUACGGGUGAAAGCAGGGGACCUUCGGGCCUUGCGCGAUUGAAUGAGCCGAUGUCGGAUUAGCUAGUUGGCGGGGUAAAGGCCCACCAAGGCGACGAUCCGUAGAUGGUCUGAGAGGAUGAUCAGCCACACUGGAACUGAGAAAAGGUCCAGACUCCUACGGGAGGCAGCAGUGGGGAAUAUUGGACAAUGGGCGCAAGCCUGAUCCAGCCAUACCGCGUGGGUGAAGAAGGCCUUCGGGUUGUAAAGCCCUUUUGUUGGGAAAGAAAUCCAGCUGGUUAAUACCCGGUUGGGAUGACGGUACCCAAAGAAUAAGCACCGGCUAACUUCGUGCCAGCAGCCGCAGUAA